Molecule: small RNA, 1058 nt
Filed under: uncultured Pelagibacterales bacterium
Lineage: Bacteria; Pseudomonadati; Pseudomonadota; Alphaproteobacteria; Candidatus Pelagibacterales
Description: bacterial SSU rRNA
Rfam family: Bacterial small subunit ribosomal RNA (bases 1-658)
Source: RNAcentral
CACCGCCUGGGGAGUACGACCGCAAGGUUAAAACUCAAAUGAAUUGACGGGGACCCGCACAAGUAGUGGAGCAUGUGGUUUAAUUCGAAGAUACGCGCAGAACCUUACCAACACUUGACAUGUUCGUCGCGACUCUAAGAGAUUAGAGUUUUCGGUUCGGCCGGACGAAACACAGGUGCUGCAUGGCUGUCGUCAGCUCGUGUCGUGAGAUGUUGGGUUAAGUCCCGCAACAAGCGCAACCCUUACUUUUAGUUGCUACCAUUUAGUUGGGCACUCUAAAAGAACUGCCGGUGAUAAGCUGGAGGAAGGUGGGGAUGACGUCAAGUCCUCAUGGCCCUUACGUGUUGGGCUACACACGUGCUACAAUGGUAUUUACAGUGGGAUGCAAAGAGGCAACUCCAAGCCAACCCUCAAAAGAUACCUCAGUUCGGAUUGUACUCUGCAACUCGAGUACAUGAAGCUGGAAUUACUAGUAAUCGCGGAUCAGCGCGCCGCGGUGAAUACGUUCCCGGGUCUUGUACACACCGCCCGUCACACCAUGGAAGUUGGUUACACCUUAAGGCAAAGUGUAAAAUCUUUGACUACGGUACGAUCAGCGACUGGGGUGAAGUCGUAACAAGGUAGCCGUAGGGGAACCUGCGGCUGGAUCACCUCCUUUCUAAGGAAAUCGAAAAAUAUUAAAACAAUUAUUUUCGAUUUAAAAAAAUCGGUAAUGUGACCGUCCUCAUUUCUCUUCUUUUAAUGUCUCUGAGUAAGUGUAAGUAAGGGGCCGGUAGCUCAGGUGGUUAGAGCGCACCCCUGAUAAGGGUGAGGUCGGAAGUUCGAGUCUUCCUCGGCCCACCAAUAUUACGGGGGAUUAGCUCAGCUGGGAGAGCGCCUGAUUUGCAUUCAGGAGGUCAGCGGUUCGAUCCCGCUAUCCUCCACCAAAAUUUGAGACAUUUAGCUUUUUUAAAUUGUAAAUAAUUUUAUUAUCAAUAUCUAUAUCCGAUUGUUUUCAGAUAUUUUUUUGAAAACAAUCAAAACAAAAAUUUGAAUUUUACACAGAAAGUUUUUUUCUG